GUAGGUAAUUAAGUUUGAAUUAUCUUAUCAAAUAAAAAAUCUCAAUGAAAAGAGGAAUUGGGUCCAACCAUGUGCUAGCAAAGUUACCAUGAACCCAAUCGAAUUUUUCUAAACCCAAUUGACACUUCAUAAGUUCAAUUACUAAUUUCAGACCUAAUUCCUUUGUUGUGUGACCUCAUAGGUUCAAUUUUAUCUGAUAGUAAGAUAUUCAAUGAUCUCUAUCAAAGUAUCAUUGAAAUUUUUUUCAAUGGAUCGGAAUAAUUUCACUCUAACUUAUCAAGAAUUGUCGAUCCAGAACAAUCCUAGUGAGCUCUCAUAAUCCACCAGCGACACCUAGCAGUAUGUAGCAACCAGUAGAAUUGAAAUGAACCUCUAGAUGUAGUUAACGUAUGAUUCAGUCCUUCUAUCGUGAGUCCCGACUAGAUGGUAGGUCAUGAAUAAAUCAUCAAACCUCAUUAUCAGUCAUAUGAUAGAUUUAAUUAGCUCAAGUCUAGUUGUGACUUUUAUGGAAACUGUUUUCCAUCAAUCAUACUACUGUGGCCACAGAUUCUCAGACUUAGCUUCUCAAAUCUAACAGGACUACUCUUUUCUACCAAAGUUGAUAGAUCUUAUCUUGAUGUGCAUCCUACCCCUACAGUGGACUAACUGUGGCCAACAUCCACUACAAGGGCUCAUUGAGAUCCAUGUUUAUAUAUCAGUCAAACUCCAGCAGUCUCACUGUGGGUUGUAGUAUAAUCUUAGAUCAAAAGAUCAGUCACACAACUAUAGCAUCAAGAUGAUCACUGACGAUCGAAUAGAUCCAAGUGAUCUCUCGUAUGGUCAUGCCUAGUACUAGUUGUUCUCUAACAACUAUUCGCACUCGUCGUCCAGUAUCUCUACACUAUAGAUCAGAGACUCAUCUAUCCUGAAAGAAGUAAUCUAUACGCCAGUCUAUCCAGAUCGAUCACCAUCCUCAUGAUGAUUCCAUGAUCGAAAGUAUUUAAGAAUUAAAUACAUGUCUCUAAUUCUCAAUACCUUAAGAAUAUGUAUCAAAACUAAUUUCAUGGAUGAUUCAAAGACACAUCGCACUUG
Molecule: long non-coding RNA, 1071 nt
Filed under: Elaeis guineensis (African oil palm)
Lineage: Eukaryota; Viridiplantae; Streptophyta; Magnoliopsida; Arecales; Arecaceae
Description: long non-coding RNA (EGUI_LNC043741)
Source: RNAcentral